ACAGCAGCAGCCGCGGUAAUACGAAGGGUGCAAGCGUUAAUCGGAAUUACUGGGCGUAAAGCGUGCGUAGGCGGUUUGUUAAGUCUGUUGUGAAAUCCCCGGGCUCAACCUGGGAAUUGCAGUGGAUACUGGGUCACUAGAGUGUGGUAGAGGAUAGUGGAAUUUCCGGUGUAGCAGUGAAAUGCGUAGAGAUCGGAAGGAACAUCUGUGGCGAAGGCGACUAUCUGGGCCAACACUGACACUGAGGCACGAAAGCGUGGGGAGCAAACAGGAUUAGAUACCCCUGUAGUCCCUGUCUCUUAUAC
Molecule: ribosomal RNA, 305 nt
Filed under: uncultured bacterium
Lineage: Bacteria
Description: partial 16S ribosomal RNA
Rfam family: Bacterial small subunit ribosomal RNA
Source: RNAcentral